UACAGAGGGUGCAAGCGUUAAUCGGAAUUACUGGGCGUAAAGCGUGCGUAGACGGUUGCGUAAGUCAGGAGUGAAAGUUUGCGGCUCAACCGUAAAAUUGCUUUUGAUACUGCAUGGCUAGAAUUAGGAUGAGGUCAGCGGAAUGUGGCAUGUAGCGGUGAAAUGCAUAGAUAUGCCAUAGAACACCAAUUGCGAAGGCAGCUGGCUAGACCUGUAUUGACGCUGAGGCACGAAAGCGUGGGGAGCGAACAGG
This 253-nucleotide ribosomal RNA is filed under the name uncultured bacterium. RNAcentral's name for it is "partial 16S ribosomal RNA". It matches the Rfam family "Bacterial small subunit ribosomal RNA", at positions 524 to 776 of the family's 1533-position model. The record is from RNAcentral.